RNAcentral lists this ribosomal RNA (493 nucleotides) under uncultured bacterium. RNAcentral describes it as "partial 16S ribosomal RNA". It matches the Rfam family "Bacterial small subunit ribosomal RNA", at positions 30 to 523 of the family's 1533-position model. The record is from RNAcentral.
AUUGAACGCUGGCGGCAUGCUUUACACAUGCAAGUCGAACGGUAACAGGUUAAGCUGACGAGUGGCGAACGGGUGAGUAAUGCAUCGGAACGUGCCCGGUCGUGGGGGAUAACACCUCGAAAGAAGUGCUAAUACCGCAUACGAUCUGAGGAUGAAAGCGGGGGACCGUAAGGCCUCGCGCGAUCGGAGCGGCCGAUGUCAGAUUAGGUAGUUGGUGGGGUAAAGGCUCACCAAGCCGACGAUCUGUAGCUGGUCUGAGAGGACGACCAGCCACACUGGGACUGGGGCGCGGCCCAGACUCCUACGGGAGGCAGCAGUGGGGAAUUUUGGACAAUGGGCGCAAGCCUGAUCCAGCAAUGCCGCGUGCAGGAAGAAGGCCUUCGGGUUGUAAACUGCUUUUGUACGGAGCGAAAAGGCUCUCUCUAAUACAGGGGGCUCAUGACGGUACCGUAAGAAUAAGCACCGGCUAACUACGUGCCAGCCGCCGCCGUAA